This 233-nucleotide long non-coding RNA is filed under the name Mustela putorius furo (domestic ferret). Its description in RNAcentral is "lncRNA (ENSMPUG00000024497.1)". Lineage: Eukaryota; Metazoa; Chordata; Mammalia; Carnivora; Mustelidae. The record is from RNAcentral.
CUGGAAAUGAUUCUGAUAGUGGUUUUGGGUUUCAGAGUGAAAACACCAUGGAUCAGAGCCCUAACAAUCCAGGAAGACUGCAUAAAGGAAGUCCCAUAACCAGCGAGGAUCCUUUUUGCCCUUCGGCUCGUCCUUUUUUCUGGCAUCUGGAAUUCAGGCAACAAUCUCUGACAUUCAGAGAAGAGACCAUGAAGCAAUACAAUUUCUUAUGAAACUAAACAUGUGACUACUGU